UCUGACUGGAGUACCCACUGGCUGGAGU
This 28-nucleotide non-coding RNA is filed under the name Mus musculus (house mouse). RNAcentral also lists the same sequence under 1 other name. The record is from RNAcentral. Lineage: Eukaryota; Metazoa; Chordata; Mammalia; Rodentia; Muridae.